This is a small nuclear RNA of Gorilla gorilla gorilla (western lowland gorilla), 104 nucleotides long. The record is from Ensembl. NCBI's taxonomy places the organism in Eukaryota, Metazoa, Chordata, Mammalia, Primates, Hominidae.
GUGCUCACUUUGGCAGCACAUACACUAAAAUUGGAAUGAUACAGAGAUUAGCUUGGCCCCUGUGCAAGGAUGACACACAAAUUCGUGAAGUACUCCAUAUGUUU